CGUAGAUCUCCCACCCUUGUGUUCAUAACUAUCUGUUGCUUUGGCGGGCCGCGAGUUCGCUCGCUCUAGCGUCCGCCAGAGGACCAUCAAACUCUGAAUGUUAGUGUCGUCUGAGUACUAUAUAAUAGUUAAAACUUUCAACAACGGAUCUCUUGGUUCUGGCAUCGAUGAAGAACGCAGCGAAAUGCGAUAAGUAAUGUGAAUUGCAGAAUUCAGUGAAUCAUCGAAUCUUUGAACGCACAUUGCGCCCCUUGGUAUUCCGGGGGGCAUGCCUGUUCGAGCGUCAUUAUAACCAAUCCAGCUUGCUGGGUCUUGGGCUCCGCCUCCCUGGCGGGCCUUAAAAUCAGUGGCGGUGCUCUCAAGCUCUACGCGUAGUAAUUUCUCUCGCUACAGGGUCUUGUGGGAUGCUGGCCAACAACCCCCAAUUUUUCUAGG
RNAcentral lists this unclassified non-coding RNA (435 nucleotides) under Hyaloscyphaceae sp. Iso467. Its description in RNAcentral is "sequence contains ITS1, 5.8S rRNA gene, ITS2". The stretch from base 133 to 286 matches the Rfam family "5.8S ribosomal RNA". Lineage: Eukaryota; Fungi; Ascomycota; Leotiomycetes; Helotiales; Hyaloscyphaceae. The record is from RNAcentral.